Molecule: ribosomal RNA, 485 nt
Filed under: uncultured bacterium
Lineage: Bacteria
Description: partial 16S ribosomal RNA
Rfam family: Bacterial small subunit ribosomal RNA
Source: RNAcentral
GAUGAACGCUGGCAGAAUGCUUAACACAUGCAAGUCGUUGGCAAAACUGUGCUUUCACAGCCUAGCCAGGGCGGACGGGGGGGGAACGCGUAAGGAACUUGCCCUGCAGUCAGGGAUAACAGACGGAAACGACUGAUAAGACCUGGUAAAGUCAGGCGGAGUCAUGUGGAGCCUUAUGGAAAGAGCAGCUUCAGGUGAGCCUUGCGUCGGAUUAGCUAGUUGUUGGGGUAAAGCCUAACCAGGGCGACGAUAGGUAACCGGCCUGAGAGGAUGGUCGGGCACACUGGAACUGAGACACGGUCCCGACUCCUACGGGAGGCAGCAGUGGGGAAUAUUGGACGAUGGGCGAAAGCCUGAUCCAGCCAUGCCGCGUGUGUGAAGAAGGUCUUCGGAUUGUAAAGCACUUUAAGUUGGGAGGAAGGGCAGUAAGUUAAUACCUUGCUGUUUUGACGUUACCAACAGAAUAAGCACCGGCUAACUUCGUG